GAUAAACGUUUGCGGCGUGCCUGAUGCAUGCAAGUCGAACGCCCCAAUUUUUCGCAAGAUUGAUUGGGGAGUGGCGAACGGCUGAGUAACACGUAAGUAACCUGUCCCUAAGUGGGGGAUAACUUGCCGAAAGGCAGGCUAAUACCGCAUGUGCUGGUAAGCGACAGCUUAUCAGUAAAGCUUUUGCGCUUGAGGAGGGGCUUGCGUCUGAUUAGCUAGUUGGUAGGGUAAUGGCCUACCAAGGCGAUGAUCAGUAGCUGGUCUGAGAGGACGACCAGCCAGGCGGGGACUGAGAUACGGCCCUGACUCCUACGGGAGGCAGCAGCAAGGAAUUUUGCGCAAUGGGCGAAAGCCUGACGCAGCGACGCCGCGUGGGGGAUGACGGCCUUCGGGUUGUAAACCCCUUUUCUAGAGGAAGAAAUCUGACGGUACUCUAGGAAUAAGUCUUGGCUAACUACGUGCCAGCGGCCGCGGUAAUACGUAGAAGGCGAACGUUAUCCGGAUUUACUGGGCGUAAAGCGGGUGUAGACGGUUUUUUAAGUCAGUUGUGAAAUCUCCUAACUCAAUUGGGAGACUGCAAUUGAUACUGGAGAACUUGAGGGCAUCAGAAGAAAGCAGAAUUCACGGUGUAGCGGUGAAAUGCGUAGAUAUCGUGAGGAAUACCAGUGGCGCAAGCGGCUUUCUGGGAUGCUCCUGACGUUGAGGCCCGAAAGUGUGGGGGAGCGAAAC
Molecule: ribosomal RNA, 729 nt
Filed under: uncultured Dehalogenimonas sp.
Lineage: Bacteria; Bacillati; Chloroflexota; Dehalococcoidia; Dehalococcoidales; Dehalococcoidaceae
Description: bacterial SSU rRNA
Rfam family: Bacterial small subunit ribosomal RNA
Source: RNAcentral